CUCCUACGGGAGGCAGCAGUCGAGAAUUUUUCUCAAUGGGGGAAACCCUGAAGGAGCGACGCCGCGUGGAGGAUGAAGGUCUUCGGGUUGUAAACUCCUGUCAUUUGGGAACAAUGCGCAAAUAUUAACUGUAUUUGCGUUGAUAGUACCAGAAGAGGAAGAGACGGCUAACUCUGUGCCAGCAGCCGCGGUAAUACAGAGGUCUCAAGCGUUGUUCGGAUUCAUUGGGCGUAAAGGGUGCGUAGGCGGCGCGGUAAGUCGGGUGUGAAAUCUCGGGGCUUAACUCCGAAACUGCAUUCGAUACUACCGUGCUUGAGGACUGGAGAGGAGACUGGAAUUUACGGUGUAGCGGUGAAAUGCGUAGAUAUCGUAAGGAAGACCAGUGGCGAAGGCGGGUCUCUGGACAGUUCCUGACGCUGAGGCACGAAGGCCAGGGGAGCAAACGGGAUUAGAUACCCCGGUAGUCCUGGCAGUAAACGGUGCACGUUUGGUGUGGGAGGAUUCGACCCCUUCUGCGCCGGAGCUAACGCGUUAAACGUGCCGCCUGGGGAGUACGGUCGCAAGAUUAAAACUCAAAGAAAUUGACGGGGGCCCGCACAAGCGGUGGAGUAUGUGGCUCAAUUCGAUGCAACGCGAAGAACCUUACCUGGCCUUGACAUGCAUCUCUAAGUUGGUGA
RNAcentral lists this ribosomal RNA (677 nucleotides) under uncultured bacterium. RNAcentral describes it as "bacterial SSU rRNA". It matches the Rfam family "Bacterial small subunit ribosomal RNA", at positions 336 to 1004 of the family's 1533-position model. The record is from RNAcentral.